This 76-nucleotide transfer RNA is filed under the name Bradyrhizobium sp. RNAcentral's name for it is "tRNA-Ala". Lineage: Bacteria; Pseudomonadati; Pseudomonadota; Alphaproteobacteria; Hyphomicrobiales; Nitrobacteraceae. The record is from RNAcentral. RNAcentral also lists the same sequence under 17 other names.
GGCCCGGUGGCGGAAGCGUCUACGCGAGAGCAGUGCAUUGCUCUUCAUCCUGGUUCAAAUCCAGGCCGGGUCUCCA